RNAcentral lists this ribosomal RNA (404 nucleotides) under uncultured bacterium. RNAcentral describes it as "bacterial SSU rRNA". It matches the Rfam family "Bacterial small subunit ribosomal RNA", at positions 355 to 774 of the family's 1533-position model. The record is from RNAcentral.
UGGGGAAUAUUGCACAAUGGGGGAAACCCUGAUGCAGCGACGCCGCGUGAGUGAAGAAGUAUUUCGGUAUGUAAAGCUCUAUCAGCAGGGACGAAUAAAUGACGGUACCUGACUAAGAAGCCCCGGCUAACUACGUGCCAGCAGCCGCGGUAAUACGUAGGGGGCAAGCGUUAUCCGGAUUUACUGGGUGUAAAGGGAGCGUAGACGGUGAUGUAAGUCAGAUGUGAAAGCCCGGGGCUCAACCCCGGGACUGCAUUUGAAACUAUGUUGCUAGAGUGCAGGAGAGGUAAGUGGAAUUCCUAGUGUAGCGGUGAAAUGCGUAGAUAUUAGGAGGACCACCAGUGGCGAAGGCGGCUUACUGGACUGUAACUGACGUUGAGGCUCGAAAGCGUGGGGAGCAAACA